UACGUAGGGUGCGAGCGUUGUCCGGAAUUAUUGGGCGUAAAGCGCGUGUAGGCGGCUUUGCAAGUCGGGUGUGAAAGCCCUCAGCUCAACUGAGGAAGUGCGCCCGAAACUGCAGAGCUUGAGUACCGGAGAGGAUGGUGGAAUUCCCCAAGUAGAGGUGAAAUUCGUAGAUAUGGGGAGGAACACCGGUGGCGAAAGCGGCUCUCUGGCCCGGAUCUGACGCUGAGGCGCGAAAGCGUGGGGAGCAAACAGG
Molecule: ribosomal RNA, 253 nt
Filed under: uncultured bacterium
Lineage: Bacteria
Description: partial 16S ribosomal RNA
Rfam family: Bacterial small subunit ribosomal RNA
Source: RNAcentral